RNAcentral lists this ribosomal RNA (301 nucleotides) under uncultured bacterium. Its description in RNAcentral is "partial 16S ribosomal RNA". It matches the Rfam family "Bacterial small subunit ribosomal RNA", at positions 509 to 807 of the family's 1533-position model. The record is from RNAcentral.
CAGUCGCCGCGGUAAUACGAAGGGUGCAAGCGUUAAUCGGAAUUACUGGGCGUAAAGCGUGCGUAGGCGGUUUGUUAAGUCUGUUGUGAAACCCCCGGGCUCAACCUGGGAAUGGCAAUGGAUACUGGCAAGCUAGAGUGUGUCAGAGGAUGGUGGAAUUCCCGGUGUAGCGGUGAAAUGCGUAGAGAUCGGGAGGAACAUCAGUGGCGAUGGCGGCCAUCUGGGACAACACUGACGCUGAGGCACGAAAGCGUGGGGAGCAAACAGGAUUAGAUACCCCUGUAGUCCCUGUCUCUUAUAC